AUACUUACCUGGCAGGGGAGAUACCAUGAUCACGAAGGUGGUUUUCCCAUGGGUGAGGCUUAUCCAUUGCACUCCGGAUGUGCUGACCCCUGCGAUUUCCCCAAAUGUGGGAAACUCGACUGCAUAAUUUGUGGUAGUGGGGGACUGCGUUCGCGCUUUCCCCUG
This is a small nuclear RNA of Pongo abelii (Sumatran orangutan), 165 nucleotides long. Its record names the gene U1. It matches the Rfam family "U1 spliceosomal RNA". From Rfam's summary of the family: U1 is a small nuclear RNA (snRNA) component of the spliceosome (involved in pre-mRNA splicing). The record is from Ensembl. Lineage: Eukaryota; Metazoa; Chordata; Mammalia; Primates; Hominidae.